UUCGGAAUCUUGACGUUACGAUGAAGAGUUUGUAUCGCGUAAAUUCUGAUACGGUAAACCCUAACACUGCUUAAAUUCUCGUCGAAUCAAAGCUCCGACCAUGGCGAUUUGGACUUUGUCCAAUCCAAUCCUGUAACUUUGACUAAUAAUUGCACGAACGCGAGAUAUUUGUUGCUUCCGAGCUCGAUUCCUCCUUAAAAAGCGCAAGAAAAAGCAGGGGAAAUCGUGAGAAGAAGAUCAAUUCCCUAGGAAGCAGAGAUGGGCAGCACCCCGAAUGAUUUCUCAGUCAUCAUUCUUCCUUCUGAUGGCGGUGUCGAUUCGCGGCCAUUUUUGUCUGACAAAGACAAGGACAGAACUGAAGAUGCAGAGAAUUGGCACGACUGUUCCCAAAACCUUUCCUCCGAUGAAGACUUCUCAGAUCUCGAUCUGCUGCAGUUUGUCCGUCUCGAGGGCUCCGACAAGAGUGGGAAUCGCAUCUUCCGCGUAAUCGGAAAGUACUUCCCUGCUGUGGUUGUAAGUGGAGAGCGGCUGAAGAAAUAUAUCCUCCACAAAUUCCACAACGAAUUGGCAGAGGGUCCAUUUUGUGUUGUUUACUUUCACACUAGUACCCAGAAGGAUGAUAAUUGUCCAGGCUUAACCAUCUUGAGAUGGAUUUAUGAAGAACUUCCCUCUGAUUACAAGGAUAGACUUAAAGUUCUCUACUUCGUUCACCCUGGGCUCCGUUCAAGGCUCGUCUUAGCGACUCUUGGUCGUUUUUUCUUAAGUGGCGGAUUGUACUGGAAAGUCAAGUAUGUGAGCCGCCUUCAGUACCUUUCGGAAGAAAUAAAGAAGGGAGAGGUUGAGAUUCCUGAUUUUGUGAAAAGUCACGAUGAAGUUCUUGAGCACAGACCAUUGACAGAUUACGGCAUCGAACCCGAUUCCCUCAAUGUUGGGGAGGUGCCUUCUUCUGCCUACUCAUUUGGGAGAUACGAGGAGAGAUGGAUGUCGAGGCAGUAUAUGACCUAGUUAGCUUGACUAAAGAAAUUGUAUUUGAUCCUAGGCAAGGUUAAGGUUUAUCAGCGAUAGCAUGAACCAUGGCUGAACAAUAAAAGCUUUGUACAUUCUGGUGUGUUGUGUAGCUUGUAUUAGUAACUUCUCUAGUGUUGCUUGUAAGUUUUUUUAGUUCAACAACAUGUUGGGAUGGACCAGUCGACCUAGCUCAGGUUGGCUAGUGUUGCUUGUAAGAUGAAUGGUGGGCUAUUCUGCUCUACAGAAUGGUUGUAGUCGAUAGCUUAUUCAACAUCUUUAUGCUGUGCAGGACUGCAUUGAACUGGUUAUUGGAGAUUGUAGAUGUGGAGGUUUAUUGCUGUUAUACGGACAAUCUUCCAGGAGAAAUCAGCAGCAUGCCUCACAAAUCCAGCAGCAGCACAAAGCAAAAAGGCUGCAUCCAAUUCACAAGUUUAGAAGGUGAGAUUUGGUUUCUCCUCUAGUGAUCAAAUGAAAAAAGAACAAGUAAAAACACACACCAUCCUUCAAUGAAGCCUCUGUCUCCUCGUUUCUUUGUGGCGCCCCAGAACCGUCUCUUCCCUGUCCCGGCAUCGGUGGUCGGGUACCCUUCAGUUGAGAACGGUUAGAGAGAGUUAAAUUUCGAGAGGUAAAAAAGAGAGAGAGAGAGAGAGAGAGAGAGAGAACCUGGUGGGUGAAGGUCUUGUUUUGCUUCUGAUAUGAGCAUCUUUGAAGCUUGGAAGUAGAGUAGUGUGUGCAAUUAAUUACUUGUAUGUAUAUAUCAAUCCUCUGCUCACAGAAAGCUAUGGAGGUUCGUGGAAACAAAGGUUGGGAAUAUGAUUCUGAUAGUCACUGAUGACCAACUUAACUUCAA
Molecule: RNA transcript, 1858 nt
Organism: Momordica charantia (bitter melon)
Lineage: Eukaryota; Viridiplantae; Streptophyta; Magnoliopsida; Cucurbitales; Cucurbitaceae
Gene name: SEC14 cytosolic factor family protein / phosphoglyceride transfer family protein
Source: RefSeq, a predicted model, not a curated record